Ceratobasidium sp. 370 is the source of this 126-nucleotide non-coding RNA. The record is from the annotation of a GenBank genome assembly. NCBI's taxonomy places the organism in Eukaryota, Fungi, Basidiomycota, Agaricomycetes, Cantharellales, Ceratobasidiaceae.
GCCCCGCUAGCUCAAUCGGUAGAGCGUGAGACUUUUACGAACCAAAGCCUUUUGAGGUCGGACUACCGUAUUUGCAAUAUUACUUACGGAAUCUCAAGGCUGCGGGUUCGAGCCCCGCGUGGGGCU